GACAGAGGGUGCAAACGUUGCUCGGAAUCACUGGGCGUAAAGGGCGUGUGGGCGGGAAUGUAAGUCGGGCGUGAAAUCCCUAGGCUCAACCUAGGAACUGCACUCGAAACUGCGUUUCUUGAGUAUCGGAGAGGAAAGCGGAAUACCUGGUGUAGAGGUGAAAUUCGUAGAUAUCAGGUGGAACACCAGUGGCGGAGGCGGCUUUCUGGACGAUAACUGACGCUGAGACGCGAAAGCGUGGGGAGCAAACAGG
This 253-nucleotide ribosomal RNA is filed under the name uncultured bacterium. Its description in RNAcentral is "partial 16S ribosomal RNA". It matches the Rfam family "Bacterial small subunit ribosomal RNA", at positions 524 to 776 of the family's 1533-position model. The record is from RNAcentral.